Long non-coding RNA from Pan troglodytes (chimpanzee), 696 nucleotides. RefSeq lists it as uncharacterized. The transcript is spliced from 4 exons. NCBI's taxonomy places the organism in Eukaryota, Metazoa, Chordata, Mammalia, Primates, Hominidae. The record is from RefSeq and is a predicted model, not a curated record.
UGCAUCAAACAGAAAGAGUAACCCUUGUUUCUCCAGCCUGCAGAAAGGAACCAUUAUAGCUGAACUGCUGUACUUUCUUUCUGCCCUGCUUUAUUAUUCUCCAUAGUACUUAUCACCUUGUAACAUCUGGAACACACCCUGGCAUAUGGUAGGCCCUCCAUUGAUGUUUAUUGGAUGUGAAUAAAUGAAUGUGUCAUCGAGAGGAUUCGUGAUGCCCCGCUCGUCAUGGAGAUGUUAGGACUCUAACAUCCAGUUUCAACUUUCCAACUGGCUUCUUGGAAACUCGUGGCUCCUUCUUAAAAACUGGAGGCAAGUAAGAUCCUAGCCAAAACCAGAGGCCCAAGAGUGAGACAGCCUGGAGAUGGGGCCUCCCUCUAUUGCCCAGGCUGAAGUGCAGUGGUACGACCAUGGCUCACUGUAACCUUGAACUCCUGGGCUCAAGUGAUCCUCUCGCCUCAGCCUCCAGAGUAGCUGAGACUGUAGGUAUGUGCCACCAUGCCUAGCUAUUAAAAAAAAAAGAAUUGUAGAGACGGGGGUCUCCCUGUGUUUCCCAGGUUGGUCUCAAACUCCUGGCCUCAAGUGAUCUUCUCACCUCGGCCUCCCAAAGUGUUGGGAUUACCGGCAUCAGCCAUCAUGCCCAGCCCACUUACUGUUUUAUCAAAUAAAACUGAAUGUUUUCAUGGCUUAACACAUCAG